Molecule: ribosomal RNA, 510 nt
Filed under: bacterium enrichment culture clone ALO1_GLFRUDD03FO2MV
Lineage: Bacteria
Description: bacterial SSU rRNA
Rfam family: Bacterial small subunit ribosomal RNA
Source: RNAcentral
GAGUUUGAUCAUGGCUCAGAUUGAACGCUGGCGGCAGGCCUAACACAUGCAAGUCGAGCGGGUGACGGGAGCUUGCUCCUUGAUUCAGCGGCGGACGGGUGAGUAAUGCCUAGGAAUCUGCCUGGUAGUGGGGGACAACGUUUCGAAAGGAACGCUAAUACCGCAUACGUCCUACGGGAGAAAGCAGGGGACCUUCGGGCCUUGCGCUAUCAGAUGAGCCUAGGUCGGAUUAGCUAGUUGGUGGGGUAAUGGCUCACCAAGGCGACGAUCCGUAACUGGUCUGAGAGGAUGAUCAGUCACACUGGAACUGAGACACGGUCCAGACUCCUACGGGAGGCAGCAGUGGGGAAUAUUGGACAAUGGGCGAAAGCCUGAUCCAGCCAUGCCGCGUGUGUGAAGAAGGUCUUCGGAUUGUAAAGCACUUUAAGUUGGGAGGAAGGGCAGUAAGUUAAUACCUUGCUGUUUUGACGUUUACCGACAGAAUAAGCACGGCUAACUCUGUGCCAGCAG